GGUUCAUUCAAAUUUCUGCCCUAUCAACUUUCGAUGGCUGGGUCUUGGCCAGCCAUGGUAGCAACGGGUAACGGAGGGUUAGGGCUCGACCCCGGAGAAGGAGCCUGAGAAACGGCUACUACAUCCAAGGAAGGCAGCAGGCGCGCAAAUUACCCAAUCCCGACCGGGGAGGUAGUGACAAUAAAUACUGAUACAGGGNCUUUUUGGGUCUUGUAAUUGGAAUGAGUACAAUUUAAACCCCUUAACGAGGAACAAUUGGAGGGCAAGUCUGGUGCCAGCAGCCGCGGUAAUUCCAGCUCCAAUAGCGUAUAUUAAAGUUGUUGCAGUUAAAAAGCUCGUAGUUG
Molecule: ribosomal RNA, 344 nt
Filed under: uncultured fungus
Lineage: Eukaryota; Fungi
Description: SSU rRNA
Rfam family: Eukaryotic small subunit ribosomal RNA
Source: RNAcentral